Long non-coding RNA from Varanus komodoensis (Komodo dragon), 4575 nucleotides. RefSeq lists it as uncharacterized. The record is from RefSeq and is a predicted model, not a curated record. The transcript has 2 exons. NCBI's taxonomy places the organism in Eukaryota, Metazoa, Chordata, Lepidosauria, Squamata, Varanidae.
GGGCAUGACUUUGCAACUAAACAAAUAAAACCUUCCACCAAGCAGCUUCAUGGGAUGACCCCGGGUUCAAGUGUUAUGGGAGAUGGAGAAAAAUAUCUCCCUCUCCAUUUUCUCCUUAGUCUAUUUCUGAAUAACAUGAUAUAUUUCAGUCUAUUUCCUCCAUAGACUUGCUCCAGAUCUGUUCUGCUGCAGCAAAGCUUCUCCUCUGGUUCCCAUAUGAAUCUUCAAUGAUAUUGCAUCAUUUCAAAACAUGCAGAUUCAGUGGGAAAAAGUCCUUGGAAAAGCAGUAUUGUAAAUACCUAAAAUUCAGAAAUAAAGAAUGCCACAAUUAUUUUUACUGACAAUUCUGAAGCACAAAGGGCUCCCUCAUAGAAAGCUAGGAUGCAACCGCACUUGGCAGUCUGUGUACCGUUUUGCUCAUUACACCUAAAAAAAAUAACCAGCAUCCCUUAUUGUUAGCAUUUUUGCCACAUCAUUCAGGGAGGCUGAAGCAAUUAUUCAUGUGUUACUAUAUCAUAUAUAUUAUAAAGAUUCUUAUCUUAUUCCUAUUAAAAAAACAUUCCAGGCAGAACUGACACAUUUGCUUUCUUUGUCAGGUGUGUGGAACAUUCUGGCCUGUAAUAUUAGGGAACAGAUGGUAAAUUCACUUCAUCAUUUGAAAUCAGAUUGGUAUGUUAGAAUUGCAAAUUGAAUUGUGUUGUAUUGUGCAGCUUUUCCCUCUUUGGGUAAAUGGAUGUCUGAAAUGCCAGUAUUUAAAAGGCUGGGGGAUCAGCAUAAAUGAUAAAGACAGAUAGCCAUAGGAGAGGAAACUCUGUAAAAUGUCCUUGGAUUACAAAGGGCAGUCCAGCAUACGGGAAGUGUAGGGUGGAAAAAUUCCAGGGAAAUAUACUCUGUAAACCCAUGUAGUUAAUCAUUAAGAUAUAUCAAGAAAAUUUAGUUUGGAAAUAGGUUUGACACAGAAAAAAAGAGGGAGACAAGAUAAAGUGACAAAAGCAAAAUAAAGCAUUAAGGACACGAUCCUGUGUGUGUUUAGGCAGGAAAAGGGUUGACAACUGGCAACUACACCAGCCAUUUUAGAGAGUGCUGAGAGAUGUAAACUUUUCCUCUGACUAAGCAUGCAUAGGAUUGUGUCCUCAGUCGAUCUAAUUUAGGAUGCAGUCCUAUCACCCCUGCAGCAGAUGCUUGUAAGCCUCUGAACUUUGCAGGCAAGGGACCAAGUCCACCACCUCCGUGGCCACGCCUCUGCCAUCUGCAGCCUUCCAGAUGUAGUGCCAGGAAGGGAGAGGCAGGGAGGCCGGGCUGCUGACUGGAGCUGGUGCCAUUCUGCAGCCCCAGCCCCCUUUCCCUCCUCACCCCACACACACCACCUCUGAGACCCAGCUGAGAAAUUGGAGGAGGACAGCCUGAGCAAGACUUUCCUCAACAGCUUCAAGGAUGCAGGGAUUGCUGGAAAGCAGAAGUUUAAUUACUGAAGAUUGGAAUAAAAACCCCCCUCUGACUCCUGGUGUUCUCUCAGUGGGGGUCGCCUAUGAAGCCAGUGUUGUUGCACGGCUGGCUCCAAAGGAGAGAAAUGUUUUUGCGGGGUCAGCUUCCAAGUCAUCAUGGGUGUUUACAGUUUCAAUAGCAGUUUGGAUUGCUAUAGUAACCCUUAAAGGCACAUUCCUCCAAAAUACCAGAUUGGAAGGAAAAUAAAUCUUUACAAUUCUCCCCGUACCACCACAGCCAUGGAUAUUGUCACAGAGAGGGCAAGCUGGAUUCAGUUUUUGCUUGUUUGUUUAGAACUCCCCUGGGGAAAACAAGUAUCUUGCUUAAAUACUAUGGUAUCCCCCAACCUGGAGCCCUUCAGAUGGUUUGGACUACAGCUCCCAUCAUCCACAGCAGCACAUCCAUUUUCUACACUGUUAAGUAACAGAAGUCAAUAGGACUUGAACAGGUCUCUGUGUUAAGAAAUUUAACUUCAGUAAAAGGGCUCAUCCAACAAAAGCAAUUUAGCACUACUAAUCCAAAGGCAUUGUACAGCACUGCUGUAUUUUUCUCCUUGAAGGUGGUGUCUUGGUUUGUUUUAUAUUUUUGGGUUUUUUGAUGGGAUGUGGUAAGGAAAAAUACUGAAGAAAGAAUGGGAAAGCAUGGGAGGGUAACAAGUAGACAGGAAGAUGAGAUCUUUCCUUUUGAAGUAAAGUGAUUGCACCAUAAAAUCUGCAUCUGGAAGCACCCUAAGAAAGGCUGAAAGGAAUGCCUAAAAAUGUUUAUUGCCAAGUAUGGGAGUGGUGGAGUAUGAGAGAGAGGGAUAAGGUGGCUGUAAGCACAGUAGUUAACUUCCUUCAAUGCCAAGAAAGAUAGGGACCACAUCAUUUCAUCUGUAUGCUUGCCAUAUUUACUGCCAUGCUUUGCAAUGUUGAGAAAGCUCUAUCCGACCCCCAGCCAAUACUUCAUCUCAGAUAAGAUUAAGAUUAAUUAGGGUACAACACACCCCUAAUAAUGGAAGCAUCAGCCUCAUUAAAACCAGUUAGCCUUUCACAUUUGUCCACAUUUAUCAGCAUAUCCAAAUCUGAACUUGGAGAAUUAACUCAAUAAAUGUAUUCUUACCACAUGAAACACACAGAGAGUGUGGGUGGAGAGAAAGAGAGACUUGCAUUUUAAAGGUAGAGUUGCACAAUGAAAGUUACUAAUGCAUGAAGAGUUUAGGAUAAUAUUACUGGAAUUAUUUUAUGACUGUAACGUAGUUCCCUAACAUUAGGCAGCAUUGAGCUGAUUUUGAAGCCCACGCAAAACGAUUGGCAUACUUUGUGGUUAGGUCUCAUGUUCAUUAUGUUAGUCAUUGCAUUUUUUAUAAUCCUCACAGUCCCUUAUCUCAGUGACUGGGUUCAGACAACAUAAUAACCCACAGUCAAAGGUGUACAGGUUGAAUGUGAGUUGUUGAAAUGUGGCUCAUUGUAUUGUCUGAACCCAGUUAAGCUAACAAGCCAUGGCCUGGUUGAUCAGUACCAGCUUAUGAAAAGAAUCUUUAGUUUGCUGUUAGGUUGGGAAGUACAGGUACCAUGGUUUAUUAUUUCAGUUGGGUUCAGACAACACAAUAACCCAUGUUUCGAGAAUAACCGCAGUUCAGUAACAAUCCACAUUCAGUCUUGGAGUAUUGUCCUGGGGAUUGUCUGAGCUCCAUCAAUGUCCUCAGGGUUUCUGAUAUUUUCUUUGGAGGAGAUCCUCCAGAGCAGAUUUUGAGAGUACAAAGGCAGACAUCCUGUUCUGCAAGUGGUAGUCUCUACAUUUAAUAUCAUACUAGAUCCAUCCCAUUGUGUUUAGAAGGCUGGAGAUGAACAACAGAUGGUGGAAGUAACACAGAGAUCAAGGCAGGUAGGCUAUCUGCUUGACGAAGGUUACUUGCUACAUUGGAGAAGUAGUAAAUAUGCAUGAGGGGAAAUUCUAGAUGUUCAAACACAUUUAAUAAAGUAUUAUUGCGUUAACUGGCAUCUUCCAAUCACAUUCUGUAUUGGCCUACCACCUUAUCUUUCUAUGACAUUGCCACAAAGUGCCUAAUCCAAAACUUUCCCAAAUUUCAGCCUCCUGGCUUUUACUUUCCUGUCUCCCCUUCAAACCAAAACAUUCCCAGGGCAUAUAAAAGUUUUAUAGGAUACUUUUAUGCCUCAAGCAAUAGGUUCAAACAAGCAAACAAAAGAAGGUUCAGUACAGAUCAUCUUGGUUCCCUUUUAGUGGUAAUAUUCUUAGCAAAAACUUUCCAAAAUAGAACCAAAACUAAGGGAAUGUUUGCUAUAUAUUAAGUAAAUAGGCCAAAAUAUUGUUAUGCUGAGAAAAGUUGAAUGAACCAAGCAUGGUUAUGUAGAUUUUCUUGUUCUGCAUAGCCUCAGGAAGUAUCAAACCCUAACCCAAACAUGUACUCUCCAAAAGCUGAAAACUAUUCUUAACAUUGAUUGAAACCUCCUGGGGGAAAUUUCAGCUGGUACAAAAACAUUUAAUAUGCAGCAUUUCUCUUGCUUGAAGCUCUUUCUUCUGGGGUCAAAAAUCACCCCAAAUAAUACUAGUGCUAGCUUUUUGUAAUGCAGGGUGAGGUUUAUGACUUGAGAACCCAAAACUAAGGUAAUCCAGUUUGAAUUUUUGGAAGUGUUAGCCACAGAAGAAUAAACAGAACUUCACUGGUUAAAAAGUGAAUCUAUGGAAGAAGGCAAAGCUUAUGACCUCAAAUGAUGGCCUAAAAAAUUUCAUGAUCACUAUUGCAUUGACCAGAUGAGCUACAGCCUGAAGCGCUGGUUUUCAGUUUAUAUUCAGGCACGCAGCACAAAUCUCUAGAUGUGAGGUCAGGAGUGUUAUUUAUAAAUGCAGGAGGGCAGCACCCCUCCCCUUAGGAGCAGUAUUGCAUAACAAUAUCUGGCAGCCACAAUUUUGCUUUUCCCAAAAUGCCCUAGAGGUUGCAUUGGUCUGAUUCCCCAUGGAUUAGAUCAAUGUUUUCACUUGAUAUAUACCUUCCUCCUGUAUUCACUAUAAUUGAAAUCUGGAACAGCCAUCUCUAAGAGCAAAAAGAUUAUUUAUACCACAUCAUUAAGGAGAAGCAGGAGGAAGCGG